RNAcentral lists this ribosomal RNA (264 nucleotides) under uncultured bacterium. RNAcentral describes it as "partial 16S ribosomal RNA". It matches the Rfam family "Bacterial small subunit ribosomal RNA", at positions 793 to 1055 of the family's 1533-position model. The record is from RNAcentral.
GUCCACGCCGUAAACUAUGGAUGCUAGCUGUUAUGAGUAUCGACCCUCGUAGUAGCGAAGCUAACGCGUUAAGCAUCCCGCCUGUGGAGUACGAGCGCAAGCUUAAAACAUAAAGGAAUUGACGGGGACCCGCACAAGCGGUGGAGCGUGUUGUUUAAUUCGAUGCUAAGCGAAGAACCUUACCCAGGCUUGACAUCUUAGGAAAUUCUGCGAAAGCAGAGUGUGCCUUCGGGAGCCUAAUGACAGGUGCUGCAUGGCCGUCGU